CAAGUUCUCAUAUCUGGAUCUUUAGAAAGCUUGGAUAUUGAUGACCUGCGGUCGAACACCAACUAUUCUGCAGGAUAUCAUCCGGACCAUGAGCUUAUUGAGAUGUUUUGGGAGGUCUUGAAGAGCUUAAGUUUGGACAACCAGAAAAAGUUUCUCAAGUUUGUUACUGGAUGUUCUCGUGACCCCCUCCUUGGAUUUCAGUAUCUCGAACCAAAAUUCUGCAUUCAGAGGUUGGCUACAUC
Molecule: RNA transcript, 242 nt
Organism: Zea mays
Lineage: Eukaryota; Viridiplantae; Streptophyta; Magnoliopsida; Poales; Poaceae
Exons: 3
Source: RefSeq, a predicted model, not a curated record